Molecule: RNA transcript, 1674 nt
Organism: Mercurialis annua (annual mercury)
Lineage: Eukaryota; Viridiplantae; Streptophyta; Magnoliopsida; Malpighiales; Euphorbiaceae
Exons: 12
Source: RefSeq, a predicted model, not a curated record
GACUGUGCUGUUCCAGCAUCUCCGGUUGGCUUUGGCCAUUUGAACUUCAAAAAUCCCGUCAUUUGAUCGACAAAAAUCAUGAACGCAGCGCCAGGAACGCACUCUCUAGCCUUUCGAGUGAUGAGGCUAUGCCGGCCGUCUUUCCACGUGGAAGCGCCGCUCCGUGUCGACCCCGCCGAUCUCAUUGUCGGAGAAGACAUUUUCGACGAUCCUAUCGCCGCUUCUCAGCUCCCGCCUCUCAUCGACAGCCAAAUCACCAAGCUCACCGAUACAUCCGAUCUCAGUUACCGCUCCAGAUUCCUCCUCCAACAUCCUUCCGAUUCCUUCGGCCUCACCGGCCUCCUCGUCCUCCCUCAAGCCUUCGGGGCUAUUUAUUUGGGAGAAACAUUUUGCAGCUACAUUAGCAUUAAUAACAGCUCUAAUUUUGAAGUUAGGGAAGUUGUAAUUAAGGCAGAAAUUCAAACGGAGAGACAACGGAUCCUCCUUUUAGACACUUCAAAAGCACCUGUAGAGUCGAUUCGUGCUGGAGGUCGCUACGAUUUCAUUGUCGAACAUGAUGUUAAGGAACUCGGAGCUCAUACGUUGGUCUGUACUGCGCAUUACAGUGAUGGUGACGCCGAACGUAAAUAUCUUCCGCAGUUUUUCAAAUUUAACGUUGCCAAUCCACUUUCAGUUAGAACUAAGGUCCGUGCUGUCAAGGAAACUACAUAUUUAGAGGCAUGUAUUGAAAAUCAUACAAAGACAAACCUUUAUAUGGACCAAGUUGAGUUUGAGCCAGCUCCGCAGUGGAAUGCAAAAAUACUAAAAGCUGAAGAAAAAUCUGAGACAGAUUCUCAGACAAGGGAUAUAUACAAGCCUCCUGUUCUUAUCAGAUCGGGUGGAGGAAUUCACAACUAUCUUUAUCAGUUAAGAUUGUCUACACAAGGUUCUGCACAGAGUAAUGUUCUUGGAAAGCUUCAAAUAAUAUGGCGUACAAAUCUUGGUGAACCUGGUCGUCUGCAGACACAGCAGAUUCUUGGCACUCCGAUCACACGUAAGGAGAUCGAAAUGUGCAUUACAGAGGUUCCAUCUGUCAUCAACUUGAAUAAACCGUUUCCGGUACACUUGAAUCUCACUAACCAUACAGAUAGAGAAUUGGGCCCCUUCGAGGUUUGGUUAUCACAAGAUGAUUCUCUGGAAGAGAAGGCUGUUAUAAUCAAUGGCCUUCAAACAAUGAUGUGGUAUCUAUACAGGAAUUAUUACAGUUGGAAGCAUUUGGAACCACAGAUGUUCACCUGAACUUGAUUGCAACGAAACUUGGAGUCCAGAAGAUUACAGGCAUUACAGUGUUUGAAAAAACAGAGAAGAAAACCUACGAACCACUGCCUGAUAUAGAGAUUUUUGUGGAUAUUGAUUGAUCUAUCGACUAGUUUUGAAGGAUUUGGUCUAUAAAGGUGUACUUUUUAAUCUUCGGUGGAUUUGUUUCAUCUCUGAUUAGAAAGCUAAAGGUGGUUGGGAAAUUUAAGUAUCAAGUUACCGUGGAUGCUAGGAUUUUGACUCCUGUUCUUAAUCGGGAGGGAUGCCCAAAUUACUUGUAUUCAUCGUAGAGUUCAAUUAAUUGAAUUGUAAAUGACCUUUUGGCAUUGACAGAACUCAUACGGAGGUCCCUGUAGUAUUACCAUUUUUGUUCCUAAA